Molecule: non-coding RNA, 94 nt
Organism: Mycena rosella
Lineage: Eukaryota; Fungi; Basidiomycota; Agaricomycetes; Agaricales; Mycenaceae
Source: the annotation of a GenBank genome assembly
GAACCAGUAGCGGACGGUUCCGCGCCCGCAGCUCUUAGAGAUCCUCGCCGAAGCAUACCAGCGGGUGCCCCUGGUUCGACUCCAGGCUGGAUCA